Molecule: long non-coding RNA, 4786 nt
Filed under: Sus scrofa (pig)
Lineage: Eukaryota; Metazoa; Chordata; Mammalia; Artiodactyla; Suidae
Description: lncRNA (ENSSSCG00030058694.1)
Source: RNAcentral
UUUUUUUUUUUUUUUUUGCCACACCCAUGGCAUAUGGAAGUUUCUGGGCCAAGGGUCAAACCAGAGCCACAGCAGUUACAACAAUAAAUCCUUAACCACUAGGCCACCAAGGAACUCCUUUAGUGUAUACUUUAUACAAAUACUUUUAUAAAGCCAUAUUAUAAUCAUCAAAAUCAGAAAAUCUAUAUUGAGCCAUUAACCAAUAAUGUUUAAUGUUCAAGCUUAGCCAAAUGUCCCAAUAAUGUCCCUCAUAGCAAAGAGACCUAGUUCUGAAUCUGAUGUUGUCUUUUCAACAUGUCCUCCUCAUGCUUUAGGUAAUUCCUCAAUUUCUGGCACAUAAUUGUUCUUUUUCUGUCUCAAACCUGGCAUCAGCCAUUUCCUCAAAGAGCCCUGUUUCUUUUCUGUGGAGAACAGUAUUUAGAAGAUAAGAAAAAAAAAAAAGGAUUCUCUUGUAUCAAGAAAGACGUUCCUGGUUUUCUUUCUCCAGGAACCCCCUAACCUAUCUGCUUACACUUACAUCUUCUUAGAGAAUACACAAAAAAUCAUGAGCAGAAUGUGAUUAGAAAUAUGGACAGUAAGGGCCAUUCUGGUGAGGUCUCCAAUAAAAAUAAGAAACAUGUUAGUAGAAACUGGAGGAAAGGUAAUCCGUAUAGUAAAGAGGCAAAGAACUUGGCCAAAUUUUGUUCAUAUUCUCACUUUUUAUGGAAGGAGAACUUGCAAAGAAUGAAAUCGGGUAUCUAGUUGAGAUUUCAAAGCAGUGUUAAAUGAGUUGCUUGGUUCCUCCUGACUGCUUAUAGUAAAAUGUGAGAAAAGAAAAAAUAAAUUUAAAAAAAAGAAAAGCAAAUGUUAAACCAGAAAGAAUCAGAGCUUAAGGAUUUGGAAAAUCCUUGGCUUUCCCAUAUUCCAGAAAAUGAGAAAAUGUAUUCAGAAAAGAACCACUAAUGGUAUAGUCAAACAGCCAUUUAAUAAGGCAAUCAUUAUGGGUAUAAGCCCCUUCCCUAAUCAGGCACCCCAACAGAAGCACUUUCAGUUUGAACUGAAAAAGACAGAGGCAGGAUGAAAUGAAGGACUUCUUAGAUGCUACAGAUCACAGAGCUCCACAGCUGCCAUUGUGUGGUAUGCUUCAGAACCACAAGAAAUGACCCUGAAGGCAAUUCAGAGAUGGUCAAGGCUGUUUCUUUGGUUUCAAAGCAAAGGGGAUGGAGGCAGGGAGUGGAUUGCUAUCAACAGGCCAGACAGCAGCCUCUUCAGAGACAUGGAGACAAGGUACCUUGGGCGCUAGGGGCAGGGCCACCUGAACCUUUGUGAUAUGACCCCCAUCUGACAGAGUCCUGCGGGUGAGACCCAGGCCAAGGAGAGGAAGAGAAAAGAAAAGAAAAGAAACAAGAAAAGAACAAGAAAAAGACCUUGGUAUCCAUGUCAGUCCUAGACUCCUCAUCUCCCUGUCUCAUCCUCCUCACUAAUUCAAAAAACUCACUUAAAAUUCAUCACUUAAAGUUUACCUUCAGUACCACCUAUGAGAAGUAGUCUGUGACACCUGACUCCACCACAAGACUGAAUUAAGUUUAAAAAAAAAAAAGAUUGAAUUAAGUCUUCUUCCUUCAUGCUUCUAUAACACUUGAUGCAUACCUGAAUCCACACAACUCAGAUUGGGACUCAAACCCUGCCAAAACCCAGACUGGGACUUGAACCCAUGUACUGGUACUCUAACCCAGCCAAAACACAGACUGGGACUUGAACACACUAUCUUGUAAUUAAAGUCACACACACCUGGUGUCAGGACUUUACUGAAGUUCUUUAUGUCUCAGCACAGAAGGAAUUCAGCAAGAGGCAAAGUGAUAAGUAAGAAGUAGAUUUAGCGAGAAAGGUAGAGUGUAGCCAUCUUAGAAGGCAAGAGCAGCCUUGAAAAUACACAUGCCAUAGACAGAAUGCAGUCCAUCUCAAAAGAAGAGCAGCCCCAAAUAUGGGGUGGUGAGUUGUUAUGGGCUGGGUAGUUUCAUAGGCUAAUAAGUGGGAGGAUUAUUCCAAUUAUUUCAGGAAAGCGGCUAUAAUUUUCAGGAAUUGGACCACCAUCCACUUUUUGCCCUUUUAAGGUCAGCCUUGGAACUGUCACGACACCCGUGUGUGUGUCAUUUAGCACGCCAGUGUAUUACAAAGAGCGUAUAAUGAGGCUCAAGGUCUCGUGGAAGUCCAAUUUUCCGCCAUCUUGGGCCCAAUAGGUUCCAAAAAUUUUCUGUCCCAUCCUCAACGGUUACAUCGUUCCUUUAAAGGUUGUAAAGGUUGUGCCCUGCCCCCUUCCCUCCUGUUUCAUACCUUCUUUAAUAAACUUACUACACUGAUUUUUAAUCAUAUAUUUAUGUAUUUAUUUUCUCCAUUAGACUAAAAACAUCUUAAAAGCAGACCACCAUGUUUUAUUCAUUUUUGUAACCUGUGUAAAGGUAUUAUUAUUACUCCCUAAUUUUAUCAUUCCAUUAUUUCCUAGACACAUCUGACAUACUAAUUUUAGCAAUCUUUUUUAAAAAUAAGAAGAAACCUUUCAAAAUAUCUUUAUCAGUAUCCUCGUUUUAGAGCUCAGGUAACUGAGACCCAUGAAAUUUAAGGAGACUUCUCAAUUCAUAACAGAAGUCAAAUGAGAAACCAAAUCUCUAGUCUGACAGUCAAGUGCUGUUUCAGUGCCUCACAAACGCUCCUUUAUUGCUAUAUCUUUAUAAGCAAAUCCAUAAAUGAUCUAUGACAGGCUGCUUCUAAAAUGGUCCCCAGUGAUCUCUCGGCUCCUGGAAUUGUAAUCCUCUCCCCGUGUGUGUGGUCUGGAACCUAAUGACUUGCUUCUCGUGAAUAAAACCCGUGAAUAAAAUGCAAUUAAAUUGAUGGGAUGUCACUUCCAAGAAUAGAUUAAGAAAAUCUGGGACUUCUGUCCUUGCCACUUUCUCUCUUGCUGGUGCUCUUUUGCUCUUUUUGCUGGCUCACUCUGAUGAACCAGGCUGCCUAGGAACUAAAGACAGCCUCAGUUCAACAACCCAGAAAGAACUUAAUCCUAUUAAUAACCAUUUCUGUGAGCUUAGAAGCAGAUCCUUCCCCAGUUAAGUUUCAUAUAAGACUACAACCUCAGCUGACACUUUGAUUGCAAUCUUGUAAGGGUCCUUGUGUUAUCCUGUGCCCAGAUUGCUGACCCAUGGACACUCUGAAAUAAUAAAUUUUGUUGUUUUAAGCUAAAAAGCUUUGGGGUGAGUUGUAGAAGCAAUAGAAAACUAAUAAAUAUUUUGUACCUAUAAGUGUCAGGUUACUAUACAAAUACCUGGAAAUGCAGUAGUUGCUUUGGAACUAGACUGAAAGGAUUUUGAAUAGCAUUACUGAGAAAUUCUAAGUUGCUUUGAACAGGCUGUUAACAGAAAUCUGUAUUUUGAAAAUGCUGCCAGUGAGGGUUCAAAACAAAGUGCAGAAACUAGAAGGAGGAUUCCUGUUAUAGAGAGUCAGAAAACUUAGCAACACUGUCACCUGCAGUUCUGUGAAAAACAGAAUGUAUACCACUAGCCAUCAUGCUAUGAGGAAACCCAAGAGCCGCACAAGAGGGUAUUUAGAAGUGUUCUGCUGACAGCCCCAGCUAAGGUUCCAGCAUGAACUAUUCCAUUCCUAGCAUGAAGGGGAAUGAGAAAGAUUUCUCAUGAUUCUAGACCCCAGUUUUCAAGUUACUCCCAAACACAGAGUCGUCUUCCCAUAGAGCAGAGUCCCAUAUCACAGAGCAGAGAUAAGAAUUUAUUUUGUCCUUUCCAAAUUCUUGAUUCAUGGAAUUUGUGACUAUAAUAAAAUGUUUGUCACUUCAUUCCACUAAGUUUGGGGCGUCAUGUUAUGCAGCAAUAGUAACUGGAGAAGAUUACAUCAACAAAAGUUGCAAUGGGAUCAGAAGGUGGUACUCAAGACCAGGGACAACAAGAUAUCUCAGUAAGGGUUACCCAGGAAAUUAGACAGCAUGUGGACCAGACACUUCUCCCCUGGUGCUAUGAUGUCAUUUGUAUAAGCUAUAACCAGAUGACAUCCUUAGGAAAUAAAAGCAAAAGUUCUUAAAAGUGGAAAAUAAUCUUGAUCGAAAUGUGAAUUUUGAACUAAGUAUACAUCUUUAAAUUAAAUAAAUAUUUAUUAUAAAUACUCUAUGGUUUAUACUGAGAGUGACUGAGUUACUUGCAAAAUGGCAACAUUGGGAAUUUCCCACUGUUUGCAAAAAUGGGGAGAUUCCAGAGCAAAACUGAGUUCAAUUAUAGAGAAGUAAAAUUUAUAUUUAUGAAUUCUUGAGUUGUGCUUGUAAAUUUUAAACCCUGCACACUUAACAAUUACUUGCUUGUUUUGGUAUCUGUAUUCUCUACUGACAAUAGACUUUCAGAGAACCAAGAUUAUGAUUACACUGCUCAUUAUUCUAUUCCUAGCUCCUAGCACAUGAUUUGUCACAUCACAGAAGCACAAUAAAUAUUUGUUGAAUGAAUAAAUGAAUAGAAAUACAUGCUAACUGACAAUCAUAGGGAUCACCAUGGUAAAAUUCUAUCCUCAGCUAAUAAGCAAUUUUAACAAGUAUGAAUCUUUUUGUUCACAAUCAUAAGCACAUUAUUUCCUCCAAUUUAAUUUAGUCUCAGGUCUGAGCUUCCUAGUUGUUGGACUAUCAAGAAUAUUAUCCCAGUCUUACCAGGGUUCUCUCACUCACCAUCAUGAUAGCUAUUGCCUUCUUCAGAGUCCAAGCUUGAAAUCUGUCCGCUCUUUGCUGCCUCUAUACCUCACUGAGAGCAUGAGAACAUUGUGU